Molecule: ribosomal RNA, 317 nt
Filed under: uncultured eukaryote
Lineage: Eukaryota
Description: partial 18S ribosomal RNA
Rfam family: Eukaryotic small subunit ribosomal RNA
Source: RNAcentral
CCCUUAGAUGUCCUGGGCUGCACGCGCGCUACACUGGUACAGCCAAUGAGUAUCUUUUACCGAUUGGUGAAGAGAAACCUUAUGAAACUGUAUCGUGACGGGAACAAACGAUUGCAAUUAUUCGUUUCGAACGAGGAAUUCCUAGUAAGCGUGAGUCAUCAGCUCAUGCUGAUUACGUCCCUGCCCUUUGUACACACCGCCCGUCGCUCCUACCGAUUGGAUGAUCCGAUGAGCUAGUCUGAAUUUUGUCCUACAACCUGUAGGACGAUAUGAAGUCUCGCGAAUCUUAUCAUUUAGAGGAAGGAGAAGUCGUANCA